AUUUUUAUUUAGCUCGACAUUAAAUUACUCCACUAAUGGAUAGAGCAGUUUGCUAUGGAGCAGGAAAGCUAUGCACAUGCUUUGGAAAGACAAUUGUAGUGUAGGGUGCGACAUGCGACUGAAAUUUUGCGGGUGAGGAGAGCGCAGGGCAUGAAGCAUGGAAAUCUUGUUAUGACAAGCAUUAUCUUAGUUAAGCCCACAGAAUUAUGGCUUCUAUGAAGGAACUUUGAAUGUCGUUGACCUUCAGAGAGUUGGCUUAACUAACGUUGGACUAGAGCUAGCCCUUGAUCAUGACUCUCAGUUCUAUUACAUUCCUUAUAAUGCUGCCUAUUGUUUUUAAGAGCUAGACCAAAGCUAGCUAACAAGCUAGCUAGCUAAAAAGCUUGAGUGUGCAGAGUGGCACCAGAAUAAAGAUAAAAAUAAGUUAACAUAAAUUAACGUUAUUAACCAGUAUCCAUGCUUUUAAAAAUAACGGUUAUAUUCCGGAACAGUAUAGAUCACUUUUGUUCUCGGUUCUGGUUCUGUUCCUAUCUCCAAGUAUACUGGCAGCUACCAGGUUGUUAGCUAGCUAGCGAAUGAGAUAACAUGACUAAACAAAGUGUAAACAAAUGGUUAACAAUGCGCGAGCAGUUUAAGAACAGCCUACGACAUGGUUUAUGAAUAAUAUGCUGUCCUGGUGGUCUGCUAUAGGAAAGUAAAAAUGUUGUGCCAGUAUUAUGGGUCAGAUCUUUUGACCUCGUUGCUGUUUUUCUCUAGUGCACUAGGAAAUAACGGUACAGCGAAGCCUUAUCAUUACAACAAUUAUUAUCUGGUAGAUUUUUUUCCUUAGUCACACAGUGCUCCCAAAAUAAACUCCUGGUCGCACAGAAAAAUAUUCCGUUGCAUAUGCAACUAAAUUGGUCGCACUUUAGAGGCCUGGGCAUAAGAUGUGUUUAAGGUUAGGGUUAAGGUUAAGGUUAAGGUUAGGUUUAGGUUUAAAAUCAGAUUUUAUGACUUUGUGGCUGUGCCAGCCAGUGACUACCCUGCAGAGCUGCCUCCAGUACAUGAGUCAUCCCAAUAAAUGCCAACAUUGUCAGGCCUGUUUCUCAUCUCCUAAAGCCACAUCCUUUUUCAGAAGUGUCAGAAUACAGUUGGAAUUCAGGCAGAAUGGUCGUCUCGCUGUUUCCCUUUUCCUCUGCAUAGUUCUAAAGAGCAAGUGGGGCUUUAGUAAAGAGAUUAUGGUUGGGCUAUCUAUUAGGAUUUAGUUUGUAUGGUUGUGUCAUAGAUAUUAAAAUAAUUAGUAUAAAAGUCCUAAUUACUUGAAAUAAAAAUAAACAUUUCAUCUGUUUAAUCUGCCACAUCUUUUAUUUACAGUAUAUUUGACAAAAUGUGUUUGUCAUGCACAUAUGCAAGCUCAUACAACAGUCACGCAUGCUCACACGCACACAGGCAUACACACACACGAACACACACACACUGCCAAAACCAUUGGUUUGUAGAGGAAGAUGACAAAUAUUUCAGAGAAUGCAGACUGAAUGGGGGGAAAUUCAUAUGCAACACUAUGUUCUUUUUCACAUUGAAGAAUCAAAUCUAAUAUUUUGUGGCCAUUGAGCAUUGGGUUAGGCUGUGAAAGAGAUGUUGAUUGCCUCUGCUAACAAGAGCAUAAUGUAUUCUAUUGUGUUCAUCAUUCGUCCAUGUUUAUUAAGGCAGGAACAGGCAUGAUAUUUCUUGUUCCCUCCCAUCUCCCUGCCUCCCCCCCCCUCCCCUCCUUCUUUCUCUCUCUCUCUCUCUCUCUCUCUCUCUCUCGCUCUCUCUCUUUCUAAGUGGAUGGGGCAUGUUGACGUGGAGGUGGUAUGACAGGCAAGGCAUCCUAAAGCCAGGAUAGGAAUGGGAGGAUGAGAGGAAGAAAGAAGAAAAUGAGGGUGGGAAGAUGAGUGAGAGAAAACAGAUAAAUAUAUCAAGAAAGUAAGAGACACAAAGGUCCACGUGUAACCACACUGUCAAGAUUAUAGAGGAAGAAGACGAUAGAUUGAGAGAUAGAGGAAGAGAAAGGAGAGGGAGUGAGAGGAGAGGAAGAGAGAGAGAGAGGGAGAGGGAGAGGAAGAGAGAG
This 2089-nucleotide long non-coding RNA is filed under the name Salmo salar (Atlantic salmon). Its description in RNAcentral is "lncRNA (ENSSSAG00000115982.1)". The record is from RNAcentral. Lineage: Eukaryota; Metazoa; Chordata; Actinopteri; Salmoniformes; Salmonidae.